This 449-nucleotide ribosomal RNA is filed under the name uncultured bacterium. Its description in RNAcentral is "partial 16S ribosomal RNA". It matches the Rfam family "Bacterial small subunit ribosomal RNA", at positions 28 to 523 of the family's 1533-position model. The record is from RNAcentral.
GAUGAACGCUGGCGGCAUGCCUAACACAUGCAAGUCGAACGAAGCCUUCGGGCUUAGUGGCGCACGGGUGCGUAACGCGUGGGAAUCUGCCCUUGGGUUCGGAAUAACAGUUAGAAAUGACUGCUAAUACCGGAUGAUGUCUUCGGACCAAAGAUUUAUCGCCCAAGGAUGAGCCCGCGUAGGAUUAGGUAGUUGGUGGGGUAAUGGCCCACCAAGCCGACGAUCCUUAGCUGGUCUGAGAGGAUGAUCAGCCACACUGGGACUGAGACACGGCCCAGACUCCUACGGGAGGCAGCAGUGGGGAAUAUUGGACAAUGGGCGAAAGCCUGAUCCAGCAAUGCCGCGUGAGUGAUGAAGGCCUUAGGGUUGUAAAGCUCUUUUACCAGGGAUGAUAAUGACAGUACCUGGAGAAUAAGCUCCGGCUAACUCCGUGCCAGCAGCCGCCGUAA